AGCAGGUACUGUCAGCAGGCCUCAGGCAGAAGCAGACAAGAAGGGUAAGAAGUAAAGGAGAGGGAGGAAAGGAGUUGAAAGAAUAAGAGAAUGAGGUGAAAGCUGAAGUCCCCACAGAGGGAAAUGCCACAAGACUAGGCCGUGCAACAUUUCCGCAGUGCUCCUCGCUACAAAGACAUUCCCCUAAGGCUGGUGGGCAACUCAACACUCAGCUCAGUACGUGGUCAGCUCGUCCUCCAUAGGAGCCUUAUGCCUUGGUGAGGAGAUCUCUGAAGAAAUUGCUGAUGAAAGUCCAACAGGCUCUUCCAGUUUGUCUGGUCGGUCACAUUUGCUGAAACCUGGAGGAAUUGUUAGUGGAAGCUCAACAGGCCUGACUCAGUCUGACUGUCCAUUCUUCUGGAAGCUGCAGAGAAAAGAAACCUGGAAACCUUAUAUGCUGACAAAAAGGGACACAAUUGGAUAUGAUGGUUAUUUUACCAAGGUUUUGAAAUGUCGUGCUUUCAAAUAUAAACAGACUGCUUUAAGGAAUCGAAGUUGACUUAUAGAGCCAAUAAAAGCCCUGCAGGAAAGCUGGCCUCAUACUUUGUCUACACAGUCUCUGUACAGGUUUCCUGACCUGUGAGACAACAUCACUAUUGCAAAACCUAAGAUCAGUGCUGGAGAUAUUUUGCAGACCCUGCACUUGAUAGAUCAGCUGGCACCACCCAGAUGGAUAAACUGGCUCAUCUGAUCUCGUGGCCUCCACCGGGAACUGAUUCAGCAAAAGAGGACAGCUUCAACUUCCUAUGAGUUUAAUCUCCAACCCAACCAAUCAGCACUCCUUACUCACUGUCCCUUACCCACCAAAUGAUCCUUAAAAACUCCAAAUUCUCGGCCGGGCGUGGUGGCUCACGCCUGUCAUCCCAGCACUUUGAAAGGCCAAGGCAGGCAGAUCACGAGGUCAGGAGAUCAAGACCAUCCUGGCUAACAUGUUAAAACCCCAUCCAUACUAAAAAUACAAAAAAUUAGCCAGGCAUGAUGGCACAUGCCUGUAAUCCCAGUUACUUGGGAGGCUGAGGCAGGAGAAUCACUUGAACCCAGGAGGCAGAGGUUGCAGUGAGCCGAGAUCAUGCCACUGCACUCCAGCCUGGGCAACAGAGCAAGACUCUGUCUCAAAAAACAAAACAACAACAACAACAACAAAAAACCCCUCCAAAUUCUCAGGGAGACUGAUUUGAGUAAUAAUAAAACUCCCAUCUCCCAUAUAGCCCGUUCUGCGUGAGUUCCACUCUUUCUUUAUUGCAAUUCCCCUGUCUGGAUAAAUCAGCUCUGUCUAGGCAGUGGGCAAGGUGAAUCUUUUUCCAGCUCUGUCAGCUAAUAACAAUAUUAACUGAUUUGAAUUUUUCCUCUUCUGCUUCCUCUAGAAGAGGUGAUAUUUAUUUUGCUUUGAUGGGAAAGAGUGAGGUAUUUUCAAAGAAC
Molecule: long non-coding RNA, 1458 nt
Filed under: Homo sapiens (human)
Lineage: Eukaryota; Metazoa; Chordata; Mammalia; Primates; Hominidae
Description: HSALNT0327557
Source: RNAcentral